AAAGUCGUAACAAGGUCAUCGUAGGUGAACCUGCGGUGGGAUCAUUAAAUAAUCUCAACCUUAAGGGGUUUGGUUAUGAGUGUGUAGUUGUUUCUUUAUUCUUUGGGAAUGUGUGCUUUUCAUUUUUGGAUUGCAUGCUUCUUGGAGGUGGAGGAAUGGCUAUUGCUUGCAACUGAGCUCUGCUUGUGUGAAUCUUGUAAGUUGCAUGGAGAGGAUAUUCUAUAUCUAAUCCGGCAAUGUGAGAAUAGUUUUGGUGGGUGUAUUGUGAGAGUGCAUAUUCUGUGCUAUUACAAGCCCCACCAGCUGUUCUCUCCAACUUAAAACACUAUCAAACAAUCAACAACAAAUAACACGAGGACUAAACACCCUCAUCAAUCCAAUUACAACUAUCCGUGGUGGAUCACUUGGCUCUU
Molecule: unclassified non-coding RNA, 413 nt
Filed under: Mucoromycotina sp.
Lineage: Eukaryota; Fungi; Mucoromycota
Description: partial contains small subunit ribosomal RNA and internal transcribed spacer 1
Rfam family: Eukaryotic small subunit ribosomal RNA (bases 1-47)
Source: RNAcentral